RNAcentral lists this long non-coding RNA (951 nucleotides) under Setaria viridis. Its description in RNAcentral is "long non-coding RNA (SVIR_LNC006619)". Lineage: Eukaryota; Viridiplantae; Streptophyta; Magnoliopsida; Poales; Poaceae. The record is from RNAcentral.
AAAAGAAAAGUUCUGGUAAAUACCUCCGGGAUGAAGGUCAUCGUGACUGGCGGAACCGCUGGUGGAGCUAUCGUCGCCGAAGCUGUCGGUGGGGCCUCUAUCGCCGAUGAAGCUGCUACCGCCGCCGCUGGAGCUGCUGCCGCCGGGAUCUCUGGUGCUGGUGAAGUUCCUGACGGCGCCGCCAUUGGGGAGAUGGUGUGGAAUGUGGAUGAAAAGGGGGUUGCUGGAGGAUGUGAUUGGAAGCUAAAAGGGCACUGGAGGAAGAUGGAAACUAGUGCGCCAAGAAAGAAAGUUACUGGCUUGUGAAGGAGAAGUGCGAAACGUGCCAGUAUUUAAGGACGGUCUAAGAAGGGGUAAAGGCGGGAUUUUUACCGCGCCGUUUACACGAAUUUCGGGGGAGUGGUUGUCUCAGGCACCCGUUUCGAAAAGAUUGUAAUCAUCAGGCAGAAGACCGUGAAACGGACAGAUAUUCUUAAUGCGUUUGUUUCGGAGGGGAAGUUGAAAAGAAUUUCGAAGUAAAGAUUAUGUUUUACUCCGAAACUGGGGGGCAUGUGUUGAUGCCAGAUUUGAACACAUAAGGAAUCGGUGUCAAGGAGGAAAGGAUUGACCGAUGCGGCAAGUUAAAAGGUCACUAUUAGGAAUCGACCGAUUGGUGCUACAGUUGGAGAUCGGCCGAUUGGCGCUACAGUGUUCUGAUGGAUAGAGUUGGUGGAGAUCGGCCGAUUGAAAGGCUGGAGCAAUUGAGCUAAUAUGGGCUUGAAGUGAGUCGAAAAGAGAAGACGAAGGGGGAUUGGCCUGUAGGAGUGCAAUAACCAACUCCGAUAUGAGUUGUACUUGUAAAUAUUCGUUUUCGUUUAAAAUUAGAGAUAUAUCCUAGUCGGUUAGGAAAUUGGUUGUAACAGGCUAUAAAUAGCCAUCUUUAGAGAUUUGUAAACAACACAUCAAUCAAUA